GCUGGCGGUGCGCCUUAUGCAUGCAAGUCGAGCGAAGCUUUUCAGUAGUUUACUACAGAAAAUGACUGAGCGGCGAACGGGUGAGUAACGCGUGAGCAAUCUACCUUAGUUACAGGGAUAGCCCGAGGAAACUCGGAUUAAUACCUGAUAUUCUUUAUUUCUCGCAUGAGAAUAAAAGGAAAGGUCAGCCGAACUAAGAUGAGCUCGCGUUCUAUCAGCUAGUUGGUGAGGUAAAAGCUUACCAAGGCUACGACGGAUAGCUGGUCUGAGAGGACGAUCAGCCACACUGGGACUGAGACACGGCCCAGACUCCUACGGGAGGCUGCAGCAGGGAAUAUUGUGCAAUGAACGAAAGUUUGACACAGCGACACCGCGUGUGGGAUGACGGAUCUAGGUUUGUAAACCACUUUCAGGAGGGAAGAAAAUGACGGUACCUCCACAAGAAGCCCCGGCCAACUACGUGCCAGCAGCCGCGGUAAUACGUAGGGGGCGAGCGUUGUCCGGAUUUAUUGGGCGUAAAGAGCUCGUAGGCGGUUCAACAAGUCGGUCGUGAAAGUUCAGGGCUCAACCCUGAAAUGUCGAUCGAUACUGUUGUGACUAGGAUACGGUAGAGGUGAGUGGAAUUCCGAGUGUAGCGGUGAAAUGCGUAGAUAUUCGGAGGAACACCAAUUGCGAAGGCAGCUCACUGGACCGCUAUCGACGCUGAGGAGCGAA
Molecule: ribosomal RNA, 714 nt
Filed under: uncultured bacterium
Lineage: Bacteria
Description: bacterial SSU rRNA
Rfam family: Bacterial small subunit ribosomal RNA
Source: RNAcentral